This 468-nucleotide ribosomal RNA is filed under the name uncultured bacterium. RNAcentral describes it as "partial 16S ribosomal RNA". It matches the Rfam family "Bacterial small subunit ribosomal RNA", at positions 28 to 507 of the family's 1533-position model. The record is from RNAcentral.
GACGAACGCUGGCGGCGUGCUUAACACAUGCAAGUCGAACGGAAAGGCCCUGCUUUUGUGGGGUGCUCGAGUGGCGAACGGGUGAGUAACACGUGAGUAACCUGCCCUUGACUUUGGGAUAACUUCAGGAAACUGGGGCUAAUCCCGGAUAGGAGCUCCUGCUGCAGGGUGGGGGUUGGAAAGUUUCGGCGGUUGGGGAUGGACUCGCGUCUUAUCAGCUUGUUGGUGGGGUAGUGGCUUACCAAGGCUUUGACGGGUAGCCGGCCUGAGAGGGUGACCGGACACAUUGGGACUGAGAUACGGCACAGACUACUACGGGAGGCAGCGGUGGGGAAUAUUGCAGUAUGGGAGGAAGCCUGAUGCAGCAAAGCAGCGUGGGGGAUGACGGCAUGCGGGUUGUAAACCGCUUUCGCCUGUGACGAAGCGUGAGUGACGGUAACGGGUAAAGAAGCACCGGCUAACUACGUG